This 85-nucleotide transfer RNA is filed under the name Xanthomonas translucens. Its description in RNAcentral is "tRNA-Leu". It matches the Rfam family "tRNA". Rfam says of the family: Transfer RNA (tRNA) molecules are approximately 80 nucleotides in length. Their secondary structure includes four short double-helical elements and three loops (D, anti-codon, and T loops). Lineage: Bacteria; Pseudomonadati; Pseudomonadota; Gammaproteobacteria; Lysobacterales; Lysobacteraceae. The record is from RNAcentral. RNAcentral also lists the same sequence under 74 other names.
GCGAAAGUGGCGGAAUUGGUAGACGCCCUGGUUUUAGGUACCAGUGCCGCAAGGCGUAGGGGUUCGAGUCCCCUCUUUCGCACCA